This 253-nucleotide ribosomal RNA is filed under the name uncultured bacterium. RNAcentral's name for it is "partial 16S ribosomal RNA". It matches the Rfam family "Bacterial small subunit ribosomal RNA", at positions 524 to 776 of the family's 1533-position model. The record is from RNAcentral.
GACAGAGGGUGCGAACGUUGUUCGGAAUUACUGGGCGUAAAGCGCGUGUAGGCGGCAGCGUAAGUCGGGCGUGAAAUCCCCGGGCUUAACCUGGGAACUGCGUUUGAAACUGAGGGGCUAGAGUGUGGAAGAGGGGGGUGGAAUUCCAGGUGUAGCAGUGAAAUGCGUAGAGAUCUGGAGGAACACCGAUGGCGAAGGCAGCCCCCUGGGCUAACACUGACGCUCAUGCACGAAAGCGUGGGGAGCAAACAGG